CACUCCCUAAUUACAGCCGGCAGUUGAUUGGGACAGUUGAACAUGGAGGCUGAUGGGGCCAGCCAUGGUGUUGCCAUCUAAGCAAAACACAAACAAUACAUAAACUCUCUGUAUGCAUUAGAGUUUGAUUACUCAGUCAAAACCUAAGUAUCCUGUUGGGAGAAGAACACUCAUUUUAGUGGCACUGUUCUAUUCUUUGGAUGAAUUGAAUAGUUACUAAUCCAGCCACAGAAGAAAGACACAGGAGAGGCUGAAACAUCACCUCUUGAGGGUCUCCUUUCUGGUGAUUUAUUCAGAUAUUGGCACAUGUGACUCAAUAAUGGCCAAUACUAUGUGAAGGGACAUCUUCUGGGGAGUCUUCCUCCUUUUCUUCCGGAUUCUUUGUGUCUGAAUGUGAUGCCUGGAGAUGCAACAGCAGUCUCACUACCAGCACGAGGAUGAAGCUGAUACCCAGAAUCAGUAUUUCAAGCAUCCAAAAUGUGUAGGAGAAUAUGGACCCAAGAACGGAGCAGAGAGACAAAUAGAGGAACGGAAAGUUUUGCCUACAACCAUGAUGUUCUCAAUGUUAGCUGACUGUGUUCUAAAAUCCACUCCAAUUCCCAUUUUGGGAGUUGCUAUGUGAUGAAGGUCUGCCCCUGUGGUGUUGGGACAACUUGCUCAUGGAGUUGCAGUUCUUGCCUAACAGGAACCCACCAUGGUAAGAAAAAGACUCAAGCUGGUUUAUUUGUUUUUAAGGUUGCAAGGUAAUCAAGUCCAUAACCACACUUGCUCUCACAUUUACCAAAAUAGGCCAAUCUCAGAACUAAAUGAUAAAAAUGAAAAUUAAUCAGGGACUCCCAUGGGCCUCACAUAUAUGGCAGUUUUGAAUCUGUUCUUUUUUUCACUAUCAUAAUUGUUUUUUUAAACUCAUUUUCUCUGCUUGAAUACACAACUGUAAAAAAAAGUGGGGGUAGUGGUGGUGAUAGAAAUGAAUAAACCCAUGGAAACAGUGAGACAUCUACAGAGACAAAAUUAGGAAGGAAGGAAACAAAAGCAAUUUCAGUAUCUCUGUGCAAGGCCUGCAUACCUUUCCUUGCCAAUACCCGUGGAUUGGGCUUGUCUCAGGAGGUAGCAGGUGUUUCCUUGACUCACACAGAAAACAAGCCCUUGGGCUUCUUGUGCUGUUAGGGCAAGUUACGUUCAGCACAUGAACACUGGACCCUGCUUUGCCUGUCCGUCCUUCCCAGAAGAGACACAGAUCACAGAUGAUCAAGUAGUUGAGAAAACAGUUCAAGAGGAGGCUUUGUAUCUUUUCUUUCUUUUCUUUCCUUUUUUUUUUUUUUUUGAAACGGAGUCUCGCUCUGUUGCCCAGGCUGGAGUGCAGUGGCAUUAUCUCGGCUCACUGCAGCCUUUGCCUCCCGGGUUCAAGUGAUUCUCCUGCCUCAGCCUCCUGAGUAGCUGGGUUUACAGGUGCCUGCCAGCACGCCCAGCUAAUUUUUGUAUUUUUAGUAGAGACGGGGUUUCACUGUGUUAGCCAGGAUGGUCUCGAUCUCCUGACCUCAUGAUCCACCCGCUUCAGCCUCCCAAAGUGCUGGGAUUACAGGCAUAAGCCACAGCACCCGGCCCUGUGUCUUUUCUUAAUUUGAGCGAACUUAAAGUAAAAACGCUUCUUAACAUUAUAAAGUAGGACUAUGUCCCCUCCAUUGAAUUUUUGUAAAAAAGUCGAAUAGGGAUAGAAAGCAAGCAACCAGAUAGAAUAUCAUGCCCCAGAACAUCAUUUACCUUGGUAGAACAUUACCACUUUAACACAUAGAAACCUUUUCACACUAGUUAACAAAUAGCAUUAAGCAUGAUUCAAGUCAAGAUUUUAAAAACUUGGCUGAUGCCUCUCAUUAAGAGUUGAAAACUAUAUAAGACUCUUGCUCCAGGAAACUGUGUUCUGACAUUUUAAUAGUAUUGCGUUAGCAAGAGCAGAAAAUCCAUGAACUUAGAUUCACAGAAAGUAAAUCAAGAAUCCAUCCAAAAUGGAGUGCCUCUUGCUGAGUGAUGGGAUGGUUUUCAUGUGAGAUGUCAGUGCAGCUUCUAUACUUGACAUAAAAGUUCCCAUUAAAAAAAACGGAACUGCUGCUCAAUUUUUUUUUCAUCAAGCAGAGUUACCUAAAGUGCUUUUUAGAAGAGACUAUUAGGAAAGGAAUGGAAAGUAGUCAUUAUGACUAAUCUGCUUUAGGAGUUGGGGUAACCAGUAUUACAGGAGGGACUUUCAGAGCCAUGGGGACCUUUUAGGCAACUCAAAUUCCUUCAAUUGUUUGCAGUGGUCCUCUCGAGGGGAUGUAAUGAGUUGACAUGCACCAGAACAGAUAGAAUGCACUGCCAGCUGGUAGUUUACUCUUGUACAGGAAGGCUGCUUUUCUAACACACAACUCUUUGUUGUGUUAAAGAGAAAUAAAUAUAUAAAAGCCUAAAAGUAAGCUUUCAAUUCUUUAUGUCUGGCAAAAUUGUCAGUACAAUGUGCCUUGAGGAUAUAUCCAUGGUGCUGUCUUACAAGGUUAUUACGAAAGAAUAAGCUCAUACUAUAAUAACCACCCCAUACACUUUACAGUUUAUGAAGAACUUACAUAUACAUUUUCUCAGUUGAACCUCACAACAUCAGUGGGAGGCAGGGGAGGCAGAUAUUAUUAUCUCUUGAGAGGGAGUGACCCUGCUGCUGCUGCUGUAUAUGUGUGGCUUUUGGUUUAGGAAGACUAAGUUGAUUGUGUUGUAUUUUCAAGUAUUUUAUAUCGUACAAGGAUGUUUAUUGCAGCACUGUUUAUAACAAGGAAAAAUUGGAACCUACUCGAAUGCUUGCUAAUAGGGGACUCAUUAAACUAUGGUACAAGCUUAGAUAUGACUCUGUAGUCAUUAAGAAUUUUGAUGAGGUAUUAGAAAGAAAUGUAUUGAUGUUGAAGUAUAUUUAUUGAUGAAGGAAAUUGUUCACAAUAUUUCAGCCAAUAAACAAUAGUAUAUGCAUUUUUUUGUAAUAGGAAAAAAUGCACACAGUAAAAUAGUGGUUAUCUUUGUGUGCGGUGAAUAUGUAUGAUACUUGUUUUCUUUUUCAUGCUCACCUAUCAAUUCUAAUCUUAGUGUCAAUA
Molecule: long non-coding RNA, 3107 nt
Organism: Homo sapiens (human)
Lineage: Eukaryota; Metazoa; Chordata; Mammalia; Primates; Hominidae
Gene: C5orf64
Product: chromosome 5 putative open reading frame 64
Source: Ensembl